UAAUCUGAAACGAAAUAAAAGCAAGCAAUUAACAUUUUGGGAACUGUCAGUCCACUAUCAAGUGUAUUCUUACUUGUCAGUGUGUGUCACUAGUAUUUACAGUAAUACUUUUUAUGGUUAUGUACAGAUGGCAACUACUACCAACAGCCCACGGUAUUUAUUUCCAACCAUAAGUACCGGAUUUGUCUGAUCAAAGUUUGCUGCCAUCAGCAAGAGGCUGAGAGGGGAAGUGGCCUGCCUAAGGCCAUCUAGUGAGCUCACAAGAGGAGCAAGAUUCAAACAGAAGCAUCCUAGGGCCUGGGGUGCAAGCAAGUAGCACAAAGAAAGUGGCACAGAGAAAGAACACGUGAUAGCAAAGAUGGGAAAUACAUUAUGAGUUUGGCACAGCAUUGACUGCACCGUAUCCUGCCAAAUGCACAGAUGAGAAAAUGCAAUGAAGUCAAGCAGCAAUACACAGGAAGUCGAUGGUCCAAUCAAGCCAUACACCUUCAGACAGCUCAACAUGCAUCUUUGAAUUGACCGAAGUAUGGAGAACGUUGGUGUGCUUUAAAAUUGCUUAUAACUUGAGAACCAAUCUAGUUAAAAACUCACCCUUGUGUAGAAGUCAGAAUAUGGCU
This is a long non-coding RNA of Hemicordylus capensis (graceful crag lizard), 617 nucleotides long. RefSeq lists it as uncharacterized. The transcript has 4 exons. Lineage: Eukaryota; Metazoa; Chordata; Lepidosauria; Squamata; Cordylidae. The record is from RefSeq and is a predicted model, not a curated record.